GACGAACGCUGGCGGCGUGCUUAACACAUGCAAGUCGAACGGAAAGGCCCUGCUUUUGUGGGGUGCUCGAGUGGCGAACGGGUGAGUAACACGUGAGUAACCUGCCCUUGACUUUGGGAUAACUUCAGGAAACUGGGGCUAAUACCGGAUAGGAGCUCCUGCUGCAUGGUGGGGGUUGGAAAGUUUCGGCGGUUGGGGAUGGACUCGCGGCUUAUCAGCUUGUUGGUGGGGUAGUGGCUUACCAAGGCUUUGACGGGUAGCCGGCCUGAGAGGGUGACCGGCCACAUUGGGACUGGGAAACGGCCCGGACUCCUACGGGGGGAAGCGGUGGGAAAUAUUGCACAAGGGGCGGAGGCCUGAUGCAGCAACGCCGCGUGGGGAAGGACGGCCUUCGGGUGUAAACCGCUUUCGCCUGUGACGAAGCGUGAGUGACGGUAAUGGGUAAAGAAGCACCGGCUAACUACGUG
Molecule: ribosomal RNA, 467 nt
Filed under: uncultured bacterium
Lineage: Bacteria
Description: partial 16S ribosomal RNA
Rfam family: Bacterial small subunit ribosomal RNA
Source: RNAcentral